Molecule: ribosomal RNA, 300 nt
Filed under: uncultured Stenotrophomonas sp.
Lineage: Bacteria; Pseudomonadati; Pseudomonadota; Gammaproteobacteria; Lysobacterales; Lysobacteraceae
Description: bacterial SSU rRNA
Rfam family: Bacterial small subunit ribosomal RNA
Source: RNAcentral
AGGGUGCAAGCGUUACUCGGAAUUACUGGGCGUAAAGCGUGCGUAGGUGGUCGUUUAAGUCCGUUGUGAAAGCCCUGGGCUCAACCUGGGAACUGCAGUGGAUACUGGGCGACUAGAAUGUGGUAGAGGGUAGCGGAAUUCCUGGUGUAGCAGUGAAAUGCGUAGAGAUCAGGAGGAACAUCCAUGGCGAAGGCAGCUACCUGGACCAACAUUGACACUGAGGCACGAAAGCGUGGGGAGCAAACAGGAUUAGAUACCCUGGUAGUCCACGCCCUAAACGAUGCGAACUGGAUGUUGGGU